RNAcentral lists this ribosomal RNA (494 nucleotides) under uncultured bacterium. RNAcentral's name for it is "bacterial SSU rRNA". It matches the Rfam family "Bacterial small subunit ribosomal RNA", at positions 29 to 518 of the family's 1533-position model. The record is from RNAcentral.
AUGAACGCUAGCGACAGGCCUAACACAUGCAAGUCGAGGGCAGCACAAGGAGCAAUCUGAGGUGGCGACCGGCGCACGGGUGAGUAACACGUAUGCAACCUGCCUGUAAGCGGGGAAUAACCCGUUGAAAGACGGACUAAUACCGCAUAAUACUAAAUUACUGCAUGGUAAUUUAUUUAAACAUUUAUGGCUUACAGAUGGGCAUGCGCAUGAUUAGCUAGUUGGAGAGGUAACGGCUCCCCAAGGCAACGAUCAUUAGGGGUUCUGAGAGGAAGGUCCCCCACACUGGUACUGAGACACGGACCAGACUCCUACGGGAGGCAGCAGUGAGGAAUAUUGGUCAAUGGACGAGAGUCUGAACCAGCCAAGUCGCGUGCAGGAAGAAUGUCCCUAUGGAUUGUAAACUGCUUUUGCAGGGGAAUAAAGUGCAUCACGUGUGAUGUUUUGUAUGUACUCUGCGAAUAAGGAUCGGCUAACUCCGUGCCAGCCGCCGC